UACGUAGGGUCCGAGCGUUGUCCGGAAUUACUGGGCGUAAAGAGCUCGUAGGUGGUUUGUCGCGUUGUUCGUGAAAACUCACAACUCAACUGUGGGCGUGCGGGCGAUACGGGCAGACUGGAGUACUGCAGGGGAGACUGGAAUUCCUGGUGUAGCGGUGGAAUGCGCAGAUAUCAGGAGGAACACCGGUGGCGAAGGCGGGUCUCUGGGCAGUAACUGACGCUGAGGAGCGAAAGCAUGGGGAGCGAACAGG
This 253-nucleotide ribosomal RNA is filed under the name uncultured bacterium. Its description in RNAcentral is "partial 16S ribosomal RNA". It matches the Rfam family "Bacterial small subunit ribosomal RNA", at positions 524 to 776 of the family's 1533-position model. The record is from RNAcentral.